UACGGGGGGGGCAAGCGUUGUUCGGAAUUACUGGGCGUAAAGGGCUCGUAGGUGGCCAACUAAGUCAGACGUGAAAUCCCUCGGCUUAACCGGGGAACUGCAUCUGAUACUGGAUGGCUUGAGUUUGGGAGAGGGAUGCGGAAUUCCAGGUGCAGCGGUGAAAUGCGUAGAUAUCUGGAGGAACACCGGUGGCGAAGGCGGCAUCCUAGACCAACACUGACACUGAGGAGCGAAAGCCAGGGGAGCAAACGGG
RNAcentral lists this ribosomal RNA (253 nucleotides) under uncultured bacterium. RNAcentral's name for it is "partial 16S ribosomal RNA". It matches the Rfam family "Bacterial small subunit ribosomal RNA", at positions 524 to 776 of the family's 1533-position model. The record is from RNAcentral.